UGCCAUGCACACACAGCUUCCAGAUACCC
RNAcentral lists this non-coding RNA (29 nucleotides) under Mus musculus (house mouse). Lineage: Eukaryota; Metazoa; Chordata; Mammalia; Rodentia; Muridae. The record is from RNAcentral.